RNAcentral lists this ribosomal RNA (497 nucleotides) under uncultured bacterium. RNAcentral's name for it is "partial 16S ribosomal RNA". It matches the Rfam family "Bacterial small subunit ribosomal RNA", at positions 28 to 507 of the family's 1533-position model. The record is from RNAcentral.
GAUGAACGCUGGCGGCGUGCCUAAUACAUGCAAGUCGAACGAACGGACGAGAAGCUUGCUUCUCUGAUGUUAGCGGCGGACGGGUGAGUCACACGUGUAUCACCUACCUAUAAGACUGGGAUAACUUCGGGAAACCGGAGCUAAUACCGGAUAAUCUUUUGAACCGCAUGGUUCAAAAGUGAAAGUCGGUCUUGCGGUCACUUAUAGAUGGAUCCGCGCUGCAUUAGCUAGUUGGUAAGGUAACGGCUUACCAAGGCAACGAUGCAUAGCCGACCUGAGAGAGUGAUCGGCCACACUGGAACUGGGACACGGUCCAGACUCCUACGGGAGGCAGCAGUAGGGAAUCUUCCGCAAUGGGCGAAAGCCUGACGGAGCAAGGCCGCGUGAGUGAUGAAGGUCUUCGGAUCGUAAAACUCUGUUAUUAGGGAAGAACAGAUGUGUAAGUAACUGUGCACAUCUUGACGGUACCUAAUCAGAAAGCCACGGCUAACUACGUG